This is a long non-coding RNA of Columba livia (rock pigeon), 521 nucleotides long. RefSeq lists it as uncharacterized. The transcript has 3 exons. The record is from RefSeq and is a predicted model, not a curated record. NCBI's taxonomy places the organism in Eukaryota, Metazoa, Chordata, Aves, Columbiformes, Columbidae.
UUAUUAUGUAUUAACAGUUAACAAGACUUUCCUGUACUCUGGACUCCAGACCUGGACACAGCACUCCUGAUUUUGUCUCAGACACUGAAUGCAGUAUCUCUCAAUCUGUAAGGAUGUUCUAGGGUGUUUCAAUAAGAAGUAGAUACAUGUAUGUGGGCAAGUGAAUGGAGCACUUUGUCUCCUUUGAUGGGCUUUUGAUGGGGAACAGGUCUGCUCUGAAAGUACUGGUUUCCUGCGCUGACUACAAUGAAAGACUAAAAUGACCAGCUCAGAUGAAGACACCUAUUAACAACAGUGAGUGGAGCAAGUCAAGUAGGUUGUGGUGAACAGGAGAGGUGCCUGAAGACUGGAAGAAAGCCAGCAUGACUCUAGUCUUCAAGAAUGCCAAGAAGGAUGACCCAGGAAACUACAGGCCAGUCAGCUUCACCUCCAUCUCUGGAAAGAUUUUUUUAAACUUGAAAUUGAACCAAGACAUCAAUCAAUUCAAGACCCACAAAGUGCACCUUCUUUAAAAGAAACAG